This 254-nucleotide ribosomal RNA is filed under the name uncultured bacterium. RNAcentral describes it as "partial 16S ribosomal RNA". It matches the Rfam family "Bacterial small subunit ribosomal RNA", at positions 524 to 776 of the family's 1533-position model. The record is from RNAcentral.
UACAGAGGGGGCAAGCGUUGUUCGGAAUUACUGGGCGUAAAGAGCUCGUAGGUGGUUUGUCGCGUUGUUCGUGAAAACUCACAGCUCAACUGUGGGCGUGCGGUCGAUACGGGCAUCACUGGAGUUCGGCAGGGGAGACUGGAAUUCCUGGUGUAGCGGUGAAAUGCGCAGAUAUCAGGAGGAACACCGGUGGCGAAGGCGGGUCUCUGGGCCGAUACUGACGCUGAGGAGCGAAAGCGUGGGGAGCGAACAGG